GCCUAAUACAUGCAAGUCGAGCGAAUGGAUUAAGAGCUUGCUCUUAUGAAGUUAGCGGCGGACGGGUGAGUAACACGUGGGUAACCUGCCCAUAAGACUGGGAUAACUCCGGGAAACCGGGGCUAAUACCGGAUAACAUUUUGAACCGCAUGGUUCGAAAUUGAAAGGCGGCUUCGGCUGUCACUUAUGGAUGGACCCGCGUCGCAUUAGCUAGUUGGUGAGGUAACGGCUCACCAAGGCAACGAUGCGUAGCCGACCUGAGAGGGUGAUCGGCCACACUGGGACUGAGACACGGCCCAGACUCCUACGGGAGGCAGCAGUAGGGAAUCUUCCGCAAUGGACGAAAGUCUGACGGAGCAACGCCGCGUGAGUGAUGAAGGCUUUCGGGUCGUAAAACUCUGUUGUUAGGGAAGAACAAGUGCUAGUUGAAUAAGCUGGCACCUUGACGGUACCUAACCAGAAAGCCACGGCUAACUACGUGCCAGCAGCCGCGGUAAUACGUAGGUGGCAAGCGUUAUCCGGAAUUAUUGGGCGUAAAGCGCGCGCAGGUGGUUUCUUAAGUCUGAUGUGAAAGCCCACGGCUCAACCGUGGAGGGUCAUUGGAAACUGGGAGACUUGAGUGCAGAAGAGGAAAGUGGAAUUCCAUGUGUAGCGGUGAAAUGCGUAGAGAUAUGGAGGAACACCAGUGGCGAAGGCGACUUUCUGGUCUGUAACUGACACUGAGGCGCGAAAGCGUGGGGAGCAAACAGGAUUAGAU
RNAcentral lists this ribosomal RNA (757 nucleotides) under Bacillus pacificus. Its description in RNAcentral is "bacterial SSU rRNA". It matches the Rfam family "Bacterial small subunit ribosomal RNA", at positions 46 to 783 of the family's 1533-position model. The record is from RNAcentral. Lineage: Bacteria; Bacillati; Bacillota; Bacilli; Caryophanales; Bacillaceae.